AUUGAACGCUGGCGGCAGGCCUAACACAUGCCAGUCGAACGGUAACAGGAAGCAGCUUGCUGCUUUGCUGACGAGUGGCGGACGGGUGAGUAAUGUCUGGGAAACUGCCCGAUGGAGGGGGAUAACUACUGGAAACGGUAGCUAAUACCGCAUAACGUCGCAAGACCAAAGAGGGGGACCUUAGGGCCUCUUGCCAUCGGAUGUGCCCAGAUGGGAUUAGCUAGUAGGUGGGGUAACGGCUCACCUAGGCGACGAUCCCUAGCUGGUCUGAGAGGAUGACCAGCCACACGGGAACUGAGACACGGUCCAGACUCCUACGGGAGGCAGCAGUGGGGAAUAUUGCACAAUGGGCGCAAGCCUGAUGCAGCCAUGCCGCGUGUAUGAAGAAGGCCUUCGGGUUGUAAAGUACUUUCAGCGGGGAGGAAGGGAGUAAAGUUAAUACCUUUGCUCAUUGACGUUACCCGCAGAAGAAGCACCGGCUAACUCCGUG
This 490-nucleotide ribosomal RNA is filed under the name uncultured bacterium. RNAcentral's name for it is "partial 16S ribosomal RNA". It matches the Rfam family "Bacterial small subunit ribosomal RNA", at positions 30 to 507 of the family's 1533-position model. The record is from RNAcentral.